RNAcentral lists this ribosomal RNA (237 nucleotides) under uncultured Latescibacterota bacterium. Its description in RNAcentral is "uncultured Latescibacteria bacterium partial 16S ribosomal RNA". It matches the Rfam family "Bacterial small subunit ribosomal RNA", at positions 1146 to 1382 of the family's 1533-position model. The record is from RNAcentral. Lineage: Bacteria; Pseudomonadati; Candidatus Latescibacterota.
AGACUGCCGGUGAUAAACCGGAGGAAGGCGGGGAUGACGUCAAGUCCUCAUGGCCCUUACAUCCCGGGCUACACACGUGCUACAAUGGCAGGUACAGAGGGCUGCGAAGCCGCGAGGUGGAGCGAAUCCCAGAAAACCUGUCUCAGUCCGGAUUGAAGUCUGCAACUCGACUUCAUGAAGGCGGAAUCGCUAGUAACCGCGAAUCAGCAGGUCGCGGUGAAUACGUUCCCGGGCCUU